Long non-coding RNA from Serinus canaria (Common canary), 1760 nucleotides. The record is from Ensembl. Lineage: Eukaryota; Metazoa; Chordata; Aves; Passeriformes; Fringillidae.
AGGGAGGGGAGGGGAGGGGUGAGGAGGGGGAGUGGAGCGGGGCGCAGCACCGCCGCACGGCGGGCGCGGUGAGAGCCCGGGCCGGUCGGGAGACAGGAAAGAGCCCGGUUUUCUCUCCCCGAAGUGAGGAUGAGGAGGGGAGGGAGGGAAAGAGGAAGCGUGGGAGGGGGACUGGAGCGCCCUGGAUGGGGCCACAAAGGAGGAAAGCCAGCCAGAGGAGGAGGGGAGAGAAAGCCCGGACCAGCUCCACCUGGGGAACCCCGCGCCGUUGCAGGCACUUUUCUGAACGCACCAAACUCCCAACCCGGAAAGCGAGAGCUGGAAAAAGAGGAGGAGGGAAGGGGAAAAAAAAAAACCUCCACGAACCUGGGAAAAGCAGGAGGCCGCCGCCUACCUGUGGCUCCCCGAACUGGAGCCUCACCCUUCCCGGCCAGCCAAGGUAGCUGCUCCCGGCCCGGCCCCGAGGCCCUCGGUCCAGCGGGACUCCCCAGGGAGAAGCCAGCCCGCCCGGCCUCCUCUGCUCGGCCAAAGGGGCCAAGCAAGAGAGGGGGCACGUCUCGCCUCAGCCCUUACCCCCGCCGUGCUGCGGGCCAGGCCAGAGGUGCUGCUCCAAGAGUUAUGUUUGGAUAAAAGCCAUGCUACCAGUGGUGCAAUGGAAGAAUCAAAGCUAACUGCAGUGGGAAUGGCACCGUGGAGGAAGUGGUAGUUGUGAUGGCCUAAGGAUGUGAUUCAACUGCACACCAACAAUGUGCAACACCUCUUUGCCUCUAAAAGAGGAGCUCUCCUGCCUCUGCUUCCUUCCUUCCAUUCCUGCUCACAGAUGCAUGAUCUGAAUCUUGCUCUGCAAGCAUCUGAAGUCAUCAGUGUGGAAGAGCUGCAGCUCUGCUGCAUAAAAGGAGGCAGCUGAUAUGCUGUUAAAAAAUUGCAGGAACAUGUACUCUUUGCACUUUGAGACACAGCAGUGAGUUGGAUCAUCCUCAGGGGAGGUGAACAGUGGAGACAAUCGAGACUGUGAAUAGAAACACUUGCAAGAGAUCAUAGAGCCUAGGAAAAUACAACUAUAGCACAACAACCCCUUCAGAAUUCAAGUGAUCAUCAGAGGUUUUUGGUCCUGGUGUUCAAUUGAAUAGAGUGCGAAAAGAAGACUGCCAGUCACCGUGGUUGUGUGGAAUCAGAGACAACCUGCCUUUAAGACUCCAAUUCUUGGAAAAUGGAAAGAAUCCCAACCUAUACUUUCCCAAAGAGAAACCAAGUUGCUGAGAAAUUAUCUCAAUGGGUCAAUAACAGUACUCCUGGAAAUUGCCAUACUAAUUUUCUUCAUUUGGUUGAGGCAUUUCUGUGUCUCCUAAGAGAGUGCAUUCUGCUCUUCCACUUCCUUCACAGCAGAAAAACUUCUGAUAUAUUUUUUCAUUGAAAACAUAGAAACAUUUUUCACUAGACCAGGUUUCUCAAAACACCACGCACCCUGACCUUCACCACUUCAAGGGAUGGGGGCAUCCCCAGCUUCUCUUUGCUACUUGGUCCAAUGUCCCAGCACUCUCACCAUGAAAAAUUUCUCCCUUAUAUCUAAUCUAAGUCAUUUAUAACUAUUCCUUAUUACUGAGUUUCAUAGCUACAGGUAUGCAAACAACCAGUGACUGUACAACAGGAAUACACAUGUCAUCAUUUGUGCAAGAAAACCUACAUCUGGAAAAACAAAGGCUGUAGAAAAUAUCAACUGAAAAUCAGAAUAAACACAGACUUUUCAUAGAUGUUGACCA